Long non-coding RNA from Microtus oregoni (creeping vole), 151 nucleotides. RefSeq lists it as uncharacterized. The record is from RefSeq and is a predicted model, not a curated record. The transcript has 3 exons. Lineage: Eukaryota; Metazoa; Chordata; Mammalia; Rodentia; Cricetidae.
AUGCCAGAGGACCAGAAAUGGCUCAGGCUGCUGGUUAUUGUCCUCCAUCGCCUCGAGAAACCAAUGCUGGUGAAAUCUACAUUGUGGAGCUGGUUAAAGAAGAUGGAACCCUUGGAUUCAGCGUGACAGGUGGCAUUAACACAAGUGUCCC